This 294-nucleotide ribosomal RNA is filed under the name uncultured bacterium. RNAcentral describes it as "partial 16S ribosomal RNA". It matches the Rfam family "Bacterial small subunit ribosomal RNA", at positions 29 to 334 of the family's 1533-position model. The record is from RNAcentral.
AACGAACGCUGGCGGUAUGCUUAACACAUGCAAGUCGAACGAACAAAGCUGGAGCUUGCUUCAGUUUUGUUAGUGGCAAACGGGUGAGUAACACGUGGGAAUCUACCCAUCAGUACGGAAUAACAUUUGGAAACAGAUGCUAAUACCGUAUAUUCUCCAAGGAGGAAAGAUUUAUCGCUGAUGGAUGAGCCCGCGCAAGAUUAGGUAGUUGGUAGGGUAAUGGCCUACCAAGCCGACGAUCUUUAGCUGGUCUGAGAGGAUGAUCAGCCACACUGGGACUGAGACACGGCCCAG